CCAAACUUGGUCAUUUAGAGGAAGUAAAAGUCGUAACAAGGUUUCCGUAGGUGAACCUGCGGAAGGAUCAUUAACCAUCGCAAUCCUAUCCACUUUGUGUGCAACUGUAAAAAAGCUCAUCUUUGGAAGGGUUAUUUUACAACCUUUCCAAAGGUUAUCAUAAUUAACGAUUUUUUCUUUUCUAUUAUUACCAGAAACAGCUUAAAUAAAACAACUUUCAACAACGGAUCUCUUGGCUCUCGCAUCGAUGAAGAACGCAGC
This 261-nucleotide unclassified non-coding RNA is filed under the name uncultured fungus. RNAcentral describes it as "partial contains small subunit ribosomal RNA, internal transcribed spacer 1, and 5.8S ribosomal RNA". The stretch from base 1 to 73 matches the Rfam family "Eukaryotic small subunit ribosomal RNA", at positions 1759 to 1831 of the family's 1831-position model. The record is from RNAcentral. Lineage: Eukaryota; Fungi.